AAGAGAUCAAGAAAAAGUUUAGCUUCUAACUACAACUUAUAGCGGUUUAAUUCCGUUUAUCUCUUU
RNAcentral lists this transfer RNA (66 nucleotides) under Concaveplana rufolineata. Its description in RNAcentral is "tRNA-Ser". Lineage: Eukaryota; Metazoa; Arthropoda; Insecta; Hemiptera; Cicadellidae. The record is from RNAcentral.